Molecule: long non-coding RNA, 5781 nt
Organism: Oncorhynchus mykiss (rainbow trout)
Lineage: Eukaryota; Metazoa; Chordata; Actinopteri; Salmoniformes; Salmonidae
Source: Ensembl
UUUACUUCUAUAUUAUGUAUUUCAUGCAUAGUGCAGUACUGUAGUUUAUGCAUAGUGCAGUACUGUAGUUCAUGCAUAGUGCAGUACUGUAGUUUAUGUAUAGUGCAGUACUGUAGUUUAUGCAUAGUGCAGUACUGUAGUUCAUGCAUAGUGCAGUACUGUAGUUCAUGCAUAGUGCAGCAGUACUGUAGUUUAUGUAUAGUGCAGCAGUACUGUAGUUUAUGCAUAGUGCAGUACUGUAGUUCAUGCAUAGUGCAGUACUGUAGUUUAUGUAUAGUGCAGCAGUACUGUAGUUUAUGUAUAGUGCAGUACUGUAGUUUAUGCAUAGUGCAGUACUGUAGUUCAUGCAUAGUGCAGUACUGUAGUUCAUGCAUAGUGCAGCAGUACUGUAGUUUAUGUAUAGUGCAGCAGUACUGUAGUUUAUGUAUAGUGCAGCAGUACUGUAGUUUAUGCAUAGUGCAGUAUUGUAGUUUAUGUAUAGUGCAGCAGUACUGUAGUUUAUGUAUAGUGCAGCAGUACUGUAGUUUAUGUAUAGUGCAGCAGUACUGUAGUUUAUGUAUAGUGCAGUAUUGUAGUUUAUGUAUAGUGCAGUAUUGUAGUUUAUGUAUAGUGCAGCAGUACUGUAGUUUAUGCAUAGUGCAGUACUGUAGUUUAUGCAUAGUGCAGCAGUACUGUAGUUUAUGUAUAGUGCAGCAGUACUGUAGUUUAUGUAUAGUGCAGUAUUGUAGUUUAUGUAUAGUGCAGCAGUACUGUAGUUUAUGUAUAGUGCAGUAUUGUAGUUUAUGCAUAGUGCAGCAGUACUGUAGUUUAUGUAUAGUGCAGCAGUACUGUAGUUUAUGCAUAGUGCAGCAGUACUGUAGUUUAUGUAUAGUGCAGCAGUACUGUAGUUUAUGCAUAGUGCAGCAGUACUGUAGUUUAUGUAUAGUGCAGCAGUACUGUAGUUUAUGUAUAGUGCAGUACUGUAGUUUAUGUAUAGUGCAGCAGUACUGUAGUUUAUGUAUAGUGCAGCAGUACUGUAGUUUAUGCAUAGUGCAGCAGUACUGUAGUUUAUGUAUAGUGCAGCAGUACUGUAGUUUAUGUAUAGUGCAGCAGUACUGUAGUUUAUGCAUAGUGCAGCAGUACUGUAGUUUAUGCAUAGUGCAGCAGUACUGUAGUUUAUGCAUAGUGCAGCAGUACUGUAGUUUAUGUAUAGUGCAGCAGUACUGUAGUUUAUGUAUAGUGCAGUACUGUAGUUUAUGCAUAGUGCAGUACUGUAGUUUAUGCAUAGUGCAGUAUUGUAGUUUAUGUAUAGUGCAGCAGUACUGUAGUUUAUGUAUAGUGCAGCAGUACUGUAGUUUAUGCAUAGUGCAGCAGUACUGUAGUUUAUGUAUAGUGCAGUACUGUAGUUUAUGUAUAGUGCAGCAGUACUGUAGUUUAUGUAUAGUGCAGUACUGUAGUUUAUGUAUAGUGCAGUACUGUAGUUUAUGCAUAGUGCAGUACUGUAGUUUAUGUAUAGUGCAGCAGUACUGUAGUUUAUGCAUAGUGCAGCAGUACUGUAGUUUAUGUAUAGUGCAGCAGUACUGUAGUUUAUGUAUAGUGCAGUACUGUAGUUUAUGCAUAGUGCAGUACUGUAGUUUAUGCAUAGUGCAGUAUUGUAGUUUAUGUAUAGUGCAGCAGUACUGUAGUUUAUGUAUAGUGCAGCAGUACUGUAGUUUAUGCAUAGUGCAGCAGUACUGUAGUUUAUGUAUAGUGCAGUACUGUAGUUUAUGUAUAGUGCAGCAGUACUGUAGUUUAUGUAUAGUGCAGUACUGUAGUUUAUGUAUAGUGCAGUACUGUAGUUUAUGCAUAGUGCAGUACUGUAGUUUAUGCAUAGUGCAGCAGUACUGUAGUUUAUGCAUAGUGCAGUACUGUAGUUUAUGCAUAGUGCAGCAGUACUGUAGUUUAUGUAUAGUGCAGCAGUACUGUAGUUUAUGCAUAGUGCAGUACUGUAGUUUAUGUAUAGUGCAGCAGUACUGUAGUUUAUGCAUAGUGCAGCAGUACUGUAGUUUAUGUAUAGUGCAGCAGUACUGUAGUUUAUGUAUAGUGCAGCAGUACUGUAGUUUAUGCAUAGUGCAGCAGUACUGUAGUUUAUGUAUAGUGCAGCAGUACUGUAGUUUAUGCAUAGUGCAGCAGUACUGUAGUUUAUGUAUAGUGCAGCAGUACUGUAGUUUAUGUAUAGUGCAGUAUUGUAGUUUAUGCAUAGUGCAGCAGUACUGUAGUUUAUGCAUAGUGCAGCAGUACUGUAGUUUAUGCAUAGUGCAGCAGUACUGUAGUUUAUGUAUAGUGCAGCAGUACUGUAGUUUAUGCAUAGUGCAGCAGUACUGUAGUUUAUGUAUAGUGCAGCAGUACUGUAGUUUAUGCAUAGUGCAGCAGUACUGUAGUUUAUGUAUAGUGCAGCAGUACUGUAGUUUAUGUAUAGUGCAGUAUUGUAGUUUAUGCAUAGUGCAGCAGUACUGUAGUUUAUGCAUAGUGCAGCAGUACUGUAGUUUAUGCAUAGUGCAGCAGUACUGUAGUUUAUGUAUAGUGCAGCAGUACUGUAGUUUAUGCAUAGUGCAGCAGUACUGUAGUUUAUGUAUAGUGCAGCAGUACUGUAGUUUAUGUAUAGUGCAGCAGUACUGUAGUUUAUGUAUAGUGCAGCAGUACUGUAGUUUAUGUAUAGUGCAGCAGUACUGUAGUUUAUGUAUAGUGCAGCAGUACUGUAGUUUAUGUAUAGUGCAGCAGUACUGUAGUUUAUGUAUAGUGCAGUAUUGUAGUUUAUGCAUAGUGCAGCAGUACUGUAGUUUAUGCAUAGUGCAGCAGUACUGUAGUUUAUGUAUAGUGCAGCAGUACUGUAGUUUAUGCAUAGUGCAGCAGUACUGUCGUUUAUGUAUAGUGCAGCAGUACUGUAGUUUAUGCAUAGUGCAGCAGUACUGUAGUUUAUGUAUAGUGCAGCAGUACUGUAGUUUAUGUAUAGUGCAGUAUUGUAGUUUAUGCAUAGUGCAGCAGUACUGUAGUUUAUGCAUAGUGCAGCAGUACUGUAGUUUAUGCAUAGUGCAGCAGUACUGUAGUUUAUGUAUAGUGCAGCAGUACUGUAGUUUAUGCAUAGUGCAGCAGUACUGUAGUUUAUGUAUAGUGCAGCAGUACUGUAGUUUAUGCAUAGUGCAGCAGUACUGUAGUUUAUGUAUAGUGCAGCAGUACUGUAGUUUAUGUAUAGUGCAGCAGUACUGUAGUUUAUGCAUAGUGCAGCAGUACUGUAGUUUAUGUAUAGUGCAGCAGUACUGUAGUUUAUGCAUAGUGCAGCAGUACUGUAGUUUAUGUAUAGUGCAGCAGUACUGUAGUUUAUGUAUAGUGCAGUAUUGUAGUUUAUGCAUAGUGCAGCAGUACUGUAGUUUAUGCAUAGUGCAGCAGUACUGUAGUUUAUGCAUAGUGCAGCAGUACUGUAGUUUAUGUAUAGUGCAGCAGUACUGUAGUUUAUGUAUAGUGCAGCAGUACUGUAGUUUAUGUAUAGUGCAGCAGUACUGUAGUUUAUGUAUAGUGCAGCAGUACUGUAGUUUAUGUAUAGUGCAGCAGUACUGUAGUUUAUGUAUAGUGCAGUAUUGUAGUUUAUGCAUAGUGCAGCAGUACUGUAGUUUAUGCAUAGUGCAGCAGUACUGUAGUUUAUGUAUAGUGCAGCAGUACUGUAGUUUAUGCAUAGUGCAGUACUGUAGUUUAUGCAUAGUGCAGCAGUACUGUAGUUUAUGUAUAGUGCAGCAGUACUGUAGUUUAUGCAUAGUGCAGUACUGUAGUUUAUGUAUAGUGCAGCAGUACUGUAGUUUAUGCAUAGUGCAGCAGUACUGUAGUUUAUGUAUAGUGCAGCAGUACUGUAGUUUAUGUAUAGUGCAGCAGUACUGUAGUUUAUGCAUAGUGCAGCAGUACUGUAGUUUAUGUAUAGUGCAGCAGUACUGUAGUUUAUGCAUAGUGCAGCAGUACUGUAGUUUAUGUAUAGUGCAGCAGUACUGUAGUUUAUGUAUAGUGCAGUAUUGUAGUUUAUGCAUAGUGCAGCAGUACUGUAGUUUAUGCAUAGUGCAGCAGUACUGUAGUUUAUGCAUAGUGCAGCAGUACUGUAGUUUAUGUAUAGUGCAGCAGUACUGUAGUUUAUGCAUAGUGCAGCAGUACUGUAGUUUAUGUAUAGUGCAGCAGUACUGUAGUUUAUGUAUAGUGCAGCAGUACUGUAGUUUAUGUAUAGUGCAGCAGUACUGUAGUUUAUGUAUAGUGCAGCAGUACUGUAGUUUAUGCAUAGUGCAGCAGUACUGUAGUUUAUGCAUAGUGCAGCAGUACUGUAGUUUAUGUAUAGUGCAGCAGUACUGUAGUUUAUGUAUAGUGCAGUAUUGUAGUUUAUGCAUAGUGCAGCAGUACUGUAGUUUAUGCAUAGUGCAGCAGUACUGUAGUUUAUGUAUAGUGCAGCAGUACUGUAGUUUAUGCAUAGUGCAGCAGUACUGUAGUUUAUGUAUAGUGCAGCAGUACUGUAGUUUAUGCAUAGUGCAGCAGUACUGUAGUUUAUGUAUAGUGCAGCAGUACUGUAGUUUAUGUAUAGUGCAGUAUUGUAGUUUAUGCAUAGUGCAGCAGUACUGUAGUUUAUGCAUAGUGCAGCAGUACUGUAGUUUAUGCAUAGUGCAGCAGUACUGUAGUUUAUGUAUAGUGCAGCAGUACUGUAGUUUAUGCAUAGUGCAGCAGUACUGUAGUUUAUGUAUAGUGCAGCAGUACUGUAGUUUAUGUAUAGUGCAGCAGUACUGUAGUUUAUGUAUAGUGCAGCAGUACUGUAGUUUAUGUAUAGUGCAGCAGUACUGUAGUUUAUGUAUAGUGCAGCAGUACUGUAGUUUAUGUAUAGUGCAGCAGUACUGUAGUUUAUGUAUAGUGCAGUAUUGUAGUUUAUGCAUAGUGCAGCAGUACUGUAGUUUAUGCAUAGUGCAGCAGUACUGUAGUUUAUGUAUAGUGCAGCAGUACUGUAGUUUAUGCAUAGUGCAGCAGUACUGUAGUUUAUGUAUAGUGCAGCAGUACUGUAGUUUAUGCAUAGUGCAGCAGUACUGUAGUUUAUGUAUAGUGCAGCAGUACUGUAGUUUAUGUAUAGUGCAGUAUUGUAGUUUAUGCAUAGUGCAGCAGUACUGUAGUUUAUGCAUAGUGCAGCAGUACUGUAGUUUAUGCAUAGUGCAGCAGUACUGUAGUUUAUGUAUAGUGCAGCAGUACUGUAGUUUAUGCAUAGUGCAGCAGUACUGUAGUUUAUGUAUAGUGCAGCAGUACUGUAGUUUAUGUAUAGUGCAGCAGUACUGUAGUUUAUGUAUAGUGCAGCAGUACUGUAGUUUAUGCAUAGUGCAGCAGUACUGUAGUUUAUGCAUAGUGCAGCAGUACUGUAGUUUAUGCAUAGUGCAGCAGUACUGUAGUUUAUGCAUAGUGCAGCAGUACUGUAGUUUAUGUAUAGUGCAGCAGUACUGUAGUUUAUGUAUAGUGCAGCAGUACUGUAGUUUAUGUAUAGUGCAGCAGUACUGUAGUUUAUGCAUAGUGCAGCAGUACUGUAGUUUAUGUAUAGUGCAGCAGUACUGUAGUUUAUGUAUAGUGCAGCAGUACUGUAGUUUAUGCAUAGUGCAGUACUGUAGUUUAUGCAUAGUGCAGUACUGUAGUUUAUGCAUAGUGAAUGUCUUCCCCCUGGUGGUGAGUCACAUGAUAGACCAACAAGUGCUGGGAGAAAAGGCAGAUGUUCAUGUUCCCCUUUUACAGUUGAAGGCUAUUAAAGAAAUGAGCAAUGUAUAA